GACGAACGCUGGCGGCGUGCUUAACACAUGCAAGUCGAACGGUGAACCACGGAGCUUGUUCCCUGCGGGUCUGUCGCGAACGGGUGAGUCACAUGUGAGCAAUGCCCCCGACUCUCGGGUAUCAGCUGGGAACAGGACCUAAUAUAGCGUAUAAGACCCUGCUGCAUAUCCUUUCUUGGUGAAUUACAGCGGUUUGGGAUGUGCUCGCGGCGUAUCAGCUCGUUGGUGAGGGAACGGCUAACCAAGGCGACGACGGGUAGCCGGCCUGAGAGGGUGACCGGCCACACUGGGACUGAGACACGGCCCAGACUCCUACGGGAGGCAGCAGUGGGGAAUAUUGCACAAUGGGCGCAAGCCUGAUGCAGCAACGCCGCGUGAGGGACGACGGCCUUCGGGUUGUAAACCUCUUUUAGCAGGGAAGAAGCGAAAGUGACGGUACCUGCAGAAAAAGCACCGGCUAACUACGUG
RNAcentral lists this ribosomal RNA (468 nucleotides) under uncultured bacterium. RNAcentral describes it as "partial 16S ribosomal RNA". It matches the Rfam family "Bacterial small subunit ribosomal RNA", at positions 28 to 507 of the family's 1533-position model. The record is from RNAcentral.